This is a long non-coding RNA of Polypterus senegalus (gray bichir), 460 nucleotides long. RefSeq lists it as uncharacterized. Lineage: Eukaryota; Metazoa; Chordata; Cladistia; Polypteriformes; Polypteridae. The record is from RefSeq and is a predicted model, not a curated record. The transcript is spliced from 3 exons.
GGGCCGUGAGACCGGCAAUCCGGACAGCUCACGUUACCCUCCUCUGACAUCUCCAGUCAUGACCACCAUCCAAGUGCUCCAGUUUCAUGCUGUACUCUUCAGGCAAUACCUAAGAUCCUCCAAUGACAACAUUCUCACAAUUCCAAAGACUUGUAUUGCAAUUAUUGGUUGCAUGGAGAUUGUGAGUGAACAGCCUCUAUAAUGUUCAGCCAUAAAUUCUGAAUUGGAUUAAAUCUGGACUCUGCCUCUGCCUCUCUAAGACAUUAACAUUGUUGUUUUUAAACCAUUCCUGUGGUAACUUUGGCUUUAUACUAAGGGUUGCUGUCUUGCUAGAAAAAAAGCUUUAGAUUCUCCUCCAGUAUUUCCCCAUAUUGUGCCAGUAUAUUGUCAACACUGUGGUCUCAUGGGGAAGCAACUUGAGUUCAAAAGACACACAAUACCUGAACAAACUUCUCAGAAA